GAGAAUCAUAUAUUCACAGAGUCUAACAUGUUAGUCAAAUCAAUUCAAGUUUUUCUUAAUGCCCUUAAUGAACUUCGUUUAUGUCAUAUAAUGGAAAGAUCUUCUUUUCUUCCAUCAAAGCUAGAAAGUUCUAAGGUAAUUGUGUGCAGAUCAUUCAUAUAGUUGUUCUGUAUAAUGGUUUUUGAGUUUUCAUGUUGUCACAGCUUCUAAUUGAUAAAUAUAUAUAUAUUUUUCUUCUUGUGCCAAGUCUUCUACUUAUGGCUCUAAAAUCCAUUCUACUUCUGGAAAGGCUAGAUACUCAGCGUGGACUGGAAAUUCAAUGUUAACUGCGUUAUGGAACAAGGUUAUUUUAUCAUGAACUUUUGAUCACAAAAAUCACAGUGCUUUGCUCUUUGAAAUCUUUAACAUAAAAACUUGGGUUCAGUUAAGUUUAAGGCCUUAAUAAGUUCAUGGUGUUUAUCAUGGUUCUCAUAGUCUGAUACGUGUUGUUUUAUUUAUUUGUUAUUUCUUGGUCAUAUUUUUUUGGUCUUUGGUUGGAGAGAAAUAGCAGCGCGUUUUGAUGGAGAAGAAAUUCUCUUAUGGAAUUGAAAGCUAGAUUUUUGUUUAUUGGCUUUCCAUUGAUUAUCUUGUUGUUGCGAAGUCAGCAGUUGUUUGUGGCUUGUACUUCACUGCUGUUAUGUAUGUAGAGCAUUGGUGUGAAGAGAUUUCAAGAGCCUCACACUAG
Molecule: long non-coding RNA, 724 nt
Organism: Ziziphus jujuba (common jujube)
Lineage: Eukaryota; Viridiplantae; Streptophyta; Magnoliopsida; Rosales; Rhamnaceae
Exons: 3
Source: RefSeq, a predicted model, not a curated record